RNAcentral lists this small RNA (1961 nucleotides) under Pan troglodytes (chimpanzee). RNAcentral's name for it is "retained intron". The record is from RNAcentral. Lineage: Eukaryota; Metazoa; Chordata; Mammalia; Primates; Hominidae.
ACGCACGCAGCUGGAGCUGGUCUUAGCAGGUGUCUCUCUACUGCUGGCUGCACUGCUUCUGGGCUGCCUUGUGGCCCUAGGGGUCCAGUACCACAGAGACCCAUCCCACAGCACCUGCCUUACAGAGGCCUGCAUUCGAGUGGCUGGAAAAAUCCUGGAGUCCCUGGACCGAGGGGUGAGCCCCUGUGAGGACUUUUACCAGUUCUCCUGUGGGGGCUGGAUUCGGAGGAACCCCCUGCCCGAUGGGCGUUCUCGCUGGAACACCUUCAACAGCCUCUGGGACCAAAACCAGGCCAUACUGAAGCACCUGCUUGAAAACACCACCUUCAACUCCAGCAGUGAAGCUGAGCGGAAGACACAGCGCUUCUACCUAUCUUGCCUACAGGUGGAGCGCAUUGAGGAGCUGGGAGCCCAGCCACUGAGAGACCUCAUUGACAAGAUUGGUGGUUGGAACAUUACGGGGCCCUGGGACCAGGACAACUUUAUGGAGGUGUUGAAGGCAGUAGCAGGGACCUACAGGGCCACCCCAUUCUUCACCGUCUACAUCAGUGCCGACUCUAAGAGUUCCAACAGCAAUGUUAUCCAGGUGCUCACUGCCUAUCUGGAUUACAUGGAGGAACUGGGGCUGCUGCUGGGUGGGCGGCCCACCUCCACGAGGGAGCAGAUGCAGCAGGUGCUGGAGUUGGAGAUACAGCUGGCCAACAUCACAGUGCCCCAGGACCAGCGGCGCGACGAGGAGAAGAUCUACCACAAGAUGAGCAUUUCGGAGCUGCAGGCUCUGGCGCCCUCCAUGGACUGGCUUGAGUUCCUGUCUUUCUUGCUGUCACCAUUGGAGUUGAGUGACUCUGAGCCUGUGGUGGUGUAUGGGAUGGAUUAUUUGCAGCAGGUGUCAGAGCUCAUCAACCGCACGGAACCAAGCAUCCUGAACAAUUACCUGAUCUGGAACCUGGUGCAAAAGACAACCUCAAGCCUGGACCGACGCUUUGAGUCUGCACAAGAGAAGCUGCUGGAGACCCUCUAUGGCACUAAGAAGUCCUGUGUGCCGAGGUGGCAGACCUGCAUCUCCAACACGGAUGACGCCCUUGGCUUCGCUUUGGGGUCCCUCUUCGUGAAGGCCACGUUUGACCGGCAAAGCAAAGAAAUUGCAGAGGGGAUGAUCAGCGAAAUCCGGACCGCAUUUGAGGAGGCCCUGGGACAGCUGGUUUGGAUGGAUGAGAAGACCCGCCAGGCAGCCAAGGAGAAAGCAGAUGCCAUCUAUGAUAUGAUUGGUUUCCCAGACUUUAUCCUGGAGCCCAAAGAGCUGGAUGAUGUUUAUGACGGGUACGAAAUUUCUGAAGAUUCUUUCUUCCAAAACAUGUUGAAUUUGUACAACUUCUCUGCCAAGGUUAUGGCUGACCAGCUCCGCAAGCCUCCCAGCCGAGACCAGUGGAGCAUGACCCCCCAGACAGUGAAUGCCUACUACCUUCCAACUAAGAAUGAGAUCGUCUUCCCCGCUGGCAUCCUGCAGGCCCCCUUCUAUGCCCGCAACCACCCCAAGGCCCUGAACUUUGGUGGCAUCGGUGUGGUCAUGGGCCAUGAGUUGACGCAUGCCUUUGAUGACCAAGGUAGGGGCCCAUGGAGUCGUCCCCUCUAGCCUAGAAUUCCCAGUGGCUCCUGCAAGGCCUUGGGACAUUGAUGUAGCCCCAAGGGCCCUGAAGUCUGUGGACCAGGGCUGGUGGGGGCACUGCUGCCCCCAAGAGAUGAGCUCUGGUUUUGGUGGGGUGCAAAGGUGAGUUCUCCUCAGGGCGCGAGUAUGACAAAGAAGGGAACCUGCGGCCCUGGUGGCAGAAUGAGUCCCUGGCAGCCUUCCGGAACCACACGGCCUGCAUGGAGGAACAGUACAAUCAAUACCAGGUCAAUGGGGAGAGGCUCAACGGCCGCCAGACGCUGGGGGAGAACAUUGCUGACAACGGGGGGCUGAA